RNAcentral lists this ribosomal RNA (253 nucleotides) under uncultured bacterium. RNAcentral describes it as "partial 16S ribosomal RNA". It matches the Rfam family "Bacterial small subunit ribosomal RNA", at positions 524 to 776 of the family's 1533-position model. The record is from RNAcentral.
UACGUAGGGGGCAAGCGUUGUCCGGAUUUAUUGGGCGUAAAGAGCGUGUAGGCGGUUAGGUAGGUCCGUUGUGAAAACUCGAGGCUCAACCUCGAGACGCCGAUGGAAACCAUCUAACUAGAGUCCGGAAGAGGAGAGUGGAAUUCCUGGUGUAGCGGUGAAAUGCGCAGAUACCAGGAAGAACACCCGUGGCUAAGGCGGCUCUCUAGUACGGUACUGACGCUGAGACGCGAAAGCGUGGGGAGCGAACAGG